Molecule: ribosomal RNA, 465 nt
Filed under: Vreelandella stevensii
Lineage: Bacteria; Pseudomonadati; Pseudomonadota; Gammaproteobacteria; Oceanospirillales; Halomonadaceae
Description: partial 16S ribosomal RNA
Rfam family: Bacterial small subunit ribosomal RNA
Source: RNAcentral
CCUACGGGGGGCAGCAGUGGGGAAUAUUGGACAAUGGGGGCAACCCUGAUCCAGCCAUGCCGCGUGUGUGAAGAAGGCCCUCGGGUUGUAAAGCACUUUCAGUGAGGAAGAACGCCUGGUGGUUAAUACCCAUCAGGAAAGACAUCACUCACAGAAGAAGCACCGGCUAACUCCGUGCCAGCAGCCGCGGUAAUACGGAGGGUGCGAGCGUUAAUCGGAAUUACUGGGCGUAAAGCGCGCGUAGGUGGCUUGAUAAGCCGGUUGUGAAAGCCCCGGGCUCAACCUGGGAACGGCAUCCGGAACUGUCAAGCUAGAGUGCAGGAGAGGAAGGUAGAAUUCCCGGUGUAGCGGUGAAAUGCGGAGAGAUCGGGAGGAAUACCAGUGGCGAAGGCGGCCUUCUGGACUGACACUGCCACUGAGGUGCGAAAGCGUGGGUAGCAAACAGGAUUAGAUACCCCGGUAGUC